Molecule: ribosomal RNA, 496 nt
Filed under: uncultured bacterium
Lineage: Bacteria
Description: partial 16S ribosomal RNA
Rfam family: Bacterial small subunit ribosomal RNA
Source: RNAcentral
GAUGAACGCUGGCGGCGUGCCUAAUACAUGCAAGUCGAGCGAACAGACGAGGAGCUUGCUCCUCUGACGUUAGCGGCGGACGGGUGAGUAACACGUGGAUAACCUACCUAUAAGACUGGGAUAACUUCGGGAAACCGGAGCUAAUACCGGAUAAUAUAUUGAACCGCAUGGUUCAAUAGUGAAAGACGGCUUUGCUGUCACUUAUAGAUGGAUCCGCGCCGCAUUGGCUAGUUGGUAAGGUAACGGCUUACCAAGGCAACGAUGCGUAGCCGACCUGAGAGGGGGAUCGGCCACACUGGAACUGAGACACGGUCCAGACUCCUACGGGAGGCAGCAGUAGGGAAUCUUCCGCAAUGGGCGAAAGCCUGACGGAGCAACGCCGCGUGAGUGAUGAAGGUCUUCGGAUCGUAAAACUCUGUUAUUAGGGAAGAACAAAUGUGUAAGUAACUAUGCACGUCUUGACGGCACCUAAUCAGAAAGCCACGGCUAACUACGU